Molecule: ribosomal RNA, 121 nt
Filed under: Trifolium pratense (red clover)
Lineage: Eukaryota; Viridiplantae; Streptophyta; Magnoliopsida; Fabales; Fabaceae
Source: RNAcentral
AAAAAAGAUUAUAGUUAAGCACUAAUGCACUAGAUCCCAUCAGAACUUCGAAGUUAAGCGUGUUUGGGCGAGAGUAGUACUAGGAUGGGUGACCUCCUGAGAAGUCCUUGUGUUGCACCUC